AUGAUCCUGCUGGCUCUUGUUAUGCCCGACAAGUUGUGUUUUAUUAUGAAACGCUGCACACUCAGUCUAUGCCAGAAACUAUGUUUAGCACAUGGAUAUGAUAAGGGUCAAAGCGACGGCAUAUCUUUCACAAAAAACCAGUGUUGCUGCUUCGCGAAGGGAACUCCGCCAUUAACAUGA
RNAcentral lists this ribosomal RNA (180 nucleotides) under Triticum aestivum (bread wheat). Its description in RNAcentral is "partial small subunit ribosomal RNA". The record is from RNAcentral. Lineage: Eukaryota; Viridiplantae; Streptophyta; Magnoliopsida; Poales; Poaceae.